GUCCACGGGUCUCUGAUUUAAGGAAACGUGCUCCUGUCGGUGGCUGAACUGGAUGACUGGCUGAGCGCGACAGAGAUAUCACUCAGAUAAACAUCGGACAUACACUCUUUAAGAUGUUUACUGGGAGCCCAGAGUGUGCCGGGCGUCUUCCCAGACCUGGGGAUUUUCCCCUUUUCCUGCAGCGCUCAAGGCUAGAGUACUGGAGAUUGAAUCUAGGGCUUCAGGCAUUCCAGGCAUGCACGCUCCCACCGAGCCACAGCCUCGGCCCUUUUCUUCAUCUUGAGGCAGGAUCUAGCUGAGUUACCCAGGUUGGCCUUUGCAUCCGGUCUGCAGCGCACACAGCGUCUGAAUCUGUAUUCCUCCUGCCUCUGCCCCCUCCCAACACAAGUUAGAAAAUCAGCUCUUAAAAUAAAUACGCGUUGA
Long non-coding RNA from Meriones unguiculatus (Mongolian gerbil), 423 nucleotides. RefSeq lists it as uncharacterized. The transcript is spliced from 3 exons. The record is from RefSeq and is a predicted model, not a curated record. Lineage: Eukaryota; Metazoa; Chordata; Mammalia; Rodentia; Muridae.